RNAcentral lists this long non-coding RNA (213 nucleotides) under Lathyrus oleraceus (garden pea). RNAcentral's name for it is "Pisum sativum (pea) long non-coding RNA (PSAT_LNC005294)". The record is from RNAcentral. Lineage: Eukaryota; Viridiplantae; Streptophyta; Magnoliopsida; Fabales; Fabaceae.
UACUUCCUUGUACCAGAUUUAAAGCCUCCAUUUGGAGCAGGUUCUAAUUUAAUCGCCUUUUUAUUUUACUUGCCAUGCCUUACUUUAUUUAAUUCCUUGUCAUGCUUUACUUUAUUUAAUUAAUUGCCAUGUUUUACUUUAUUUAAUUUCCUUCCAUUGUCUUUACUUUAUUUAAUUUUCUCGCCACUAUCUUUAUUGCUCGUUUUAAUUGUU